Molecule: ribosomal RNA, 253 nt
Filed under: uncultured bacterium
Lineage: Bacteria
Description: partial 16S ribosomal RNA
Rfam family: Bacterial small subunit ribosomal RNA
Source: RNAcentral
UACGUAGGGUGCAAGCGUUAAUCGGAAUUACUGGGCGUAAAGCGUGCGCAGGCGGCUUUGCAAGACAGAUGUGAAAUUCCCGGGCUUAACCUGGGGGCUGCAUUUGAUACGUGUUGUCUUGAGUUCGGAAGAGGGUCGUGGAAUUCCCAGUGUAGAGGUGAAAUUCGUAGAUAUUGGGAAGAACACCGGUGGCGAAGGCGGCGACCUGGUCCGACACUGACGCUGAGGAGCGAAAGCGUGGGGAGCGAACAGG